GACGGAGGAUGCAAGCGUUAUCCGGAAUGAUUGGGCGUAAAGCGUCCGCAGGUGGCAGUUCAAGUCUGCUGCCAAAGACCGGGGCUUAACUUCGGAAAGGCAGUGGAAACUGAACAGCUAGAGUAUGGUAGGGGCAGAGGGAAUUCCUGGUGUAGCGGUGAAAUGCGUAGAGAUCAGGAAGAACAUCGGUGGCGAAGGCGCUCUGCUGGACCAUAACUGACACUCAGGGACGAAAGCUAGGGGAGCGAAUGGG
RNAcentral lists this ribosomal RNA (253 nucleotides) under uncultured bacterium. RNAcentral's name for it is "partial 16S ribosomal RNA". It matches the Rfam family "Bacterial small subunit ribosomal RNA", at positions 524 to 776 of the family's 1533-position model. The record is from RNAcentral.